This 854-nucleotide ribosomal RNA is filed under the name uncultured beta proteobacterium. Its description in RNAcentral is "bacterial SSU rRNA". It matches the Rfam family "Bacterial small subunit ribosomal RNA", at positions 68 to 919 of the family's 1533-position model. Lineage: Bacteria; Pseudomonadati; Pseudomonadota; Betaproteobacteria. The record is from RNAcentral.
GGCAGCACGGGAGCAAUCCUGGUGGCGAGUGGCGAACGGGUGAGUAAUACAUCGGAACGUGCCCUGUAGUGGGGGAUAACUAGUCGAAAGACUAGCUAAUACCGCAUACGACCUGAGGGUGAAAGUGGGGGACCGCAAGGCCUCAUGCUAUAGGAGCGGCCGAUGUCUGAUUAGCUAGUUGGUGGGGUAAAGGCCUACCAAGGCGACGAUCAGUAGCUGGUCUGAGAGGACGAUCAGCCACACUGGGACUGAGACACGGCCCAGACUCCUACGGGAGGCAGCAGUGGGGAAUUUUGGACAAUGGGGGCAACCCUGAUCCAGCAAUGCCGCGUGUGUGAAGAAGGCCUUCGGGUUGUAAAGCACUUUUGUCCGGGAAGAAAUCUCACCUGAUAAUACCGGGUGUGGAUGACGGUACCGGAAGAAUAAGGACCGGCUAACUACGUGUCAGCAGCCGCGGUAAUACGUAGGGUCCAAGCGUUAAUCGGAAUUACUGGGCGUAAAGCGUGCGCAGGCGGUUGUGCAAGACCGAUGUGAAAUCCCCGGGCUUCACCUGGGAAUUGCAUUGGUGACUGCGCGGCUAGGGUGUGUCAGAGGGCGGUAGAAUUCCACGUGUAGCAGUGAAAUGCGUAGAGAUGUGGAGGAAUACCUAUGGCGAAUGCAGCCCCCUGGGAUAACACUGACACUCAUGCACGAAAGCGUGUGGAGCAAACAGGAUUAGAUACCCUGGUAGUCCACGCCCUAGAACGAUGUCACUAGUUGUUGGGGAUUCAUUUCCUUAGUAACGUACCUGACGCGUGAAGUUGACCGCCUGCGGAGUACGGUCGCACGAUUAAAAUCACAUGUAUUGACUCGGG